Molecule: ribosomal RNA, 274 nt
Filed under: uncultured bacterium
Lineage: Bacteria
Description: partial 16S ribosomal RNA
Rfam family: Bacterial small subunit ribosomal RNA
Source: RNAcentral
AUACGGAGGGUGCGAGCGUUACUCGGAGUCACUGGGCGUAAAGCGUCCGUAGGCGGUCGGGUAAGUCGGGUGUGAAAGCCCCGGGCUCAACCUGGGAAGUGCACCCGAUACUGCUCGACUCGAGUGCGGGAGAGGAUGGCGGAAUUCCCGGUGUAGCGGUGAGAUGCGUAGAGAUCGGGAGGAACACCAGUGGCGAAGGCGGCCAUCUGGCCCGCAACUGACGCUGAGGGACGAAAGCGUGGGGAGCAAACAGGAUUAGAAACCCUAGUAGUCC